This is a long non-coding RNA of Mus musculus (house mouse), 1207 nucleotides long. RefSeq annotates it as predicted gene, 30713. NCBI's taxonomy places the organism in Eukaryota, Metazoa, Chordata, Mammalia, Rodentia, Muridae. The transcript has 5 exons. The record is from RefSeq and is a predicted model, not a curated record.
UGCUCCCCAGCAGGCAGGGGUGGGAGGAGCAUGAUUGGCACCUCCACCCACAGGCAAGGGACUGAACAGACUCCAUACAAGGGAGGUGCCUGCUCCAGAGAAGGAAGGCCAGAGGAAGAAGGCCCAGUCCCACUGACAUGGCUCUCGUGCUUUAUCAGAACACAUGGCUUGUCCUGGUCCUCUGAAUUGGCAGGGACCUAUGCUGACCUCACAAAGUCCCUGGGUACACACACUGUGGCGUUUGUGCUUUCUACAUCGGCUAUGAUAUUUACCAAGAUGUUCGUGUCGCUGGGAACAAUCAGACCAUUCUAGAACUAAUCAAAGCGCUACAUUCUAUUAUAAACGCCUGAACAGAUGAGCCUGCUGCCUGGAGUUCUUUUGGGGGCAUAGGGGUCCCCAAAAGGGAGUUCUUGGGUUAUAAAUAUCUCUUCUCUGCAAAGGCUGCUUGCUCUCUCUCUCUCUCUCUCUCUCUCUCUCUCUCCCCCUCUCCCUCCCUCCCUCUCCCCUCUUUCCCCCUCUAUACUGAAACACCCCUGUGUCUAGGAGGGGCUUCUAGUGUAGCCAGAAGAGGCACAAUCUUGCAAGAAAAAGAAAAAAAAACUAUGUCUAGGACCCCAGCUUGUGGGACAGUGCUUCCCACAUUCAGGGUGGGUCUUUCCUCCUCCGUUUAACCUCACUGAAAACUUCACAGACACACCAUGCUUCCAUGGAGAUUCCAAAUCCAAUUAAGUUGACACUUAAGAUUAAGGAGACGAGAGCUUAACCUAUUGAGUUUCUCACUGAUCAUGAACCUUGCUCCUGUCUCCAGUAACACUCUGCAGUGUUACAGUGCCUGGCUGUUUGUGUGAAUUUGGACCCUCAUGUUUGCGUGGCAAGCGCUUUGCAUCUUAAGCCAUGUCCCAGCUCCAGCCUCCUGGCUGCCUUCCACUCUUGUCUCCUGUGUCACAGCUGAGUGCAUCUAUGAUUUGAAUGAUGAUCACAUGAGCUACCGAGAGGACAGGCACGUGCAACAGGCACGUGCCACCAUUUUUCUAAGGAUGUUUGAAGACAGGCUGUGGAAUGUUGUCUCCCUAUUGUGGCAGCCAUUACCACCUUCAUCAGGGCAGCUGUGACUACUCUCAAGAGACCCUCAAGAUUUGACCUGCUGACCUUUUUCUCAUUGAAGGAGGGGCCGGGGAGGGUUAUUAAACCCUUAGUUGAGAUUUCA